AGAAUCAACGCUGGCGGCGUGCCUAACACAUGCAAGUCGCACGAGAAAGGGUAGCAAUACCUGAGUACAGUGGCGCACGGGUGAGUAACACGUGAAUCAUCUACCUCCGAGUGGGGGAAUAACUGAGAGAAAUCUUAGCUAAUACCGCAUAAUACCCACGGGUCAAAGCAGCAAUGCGCUUGGAGAGGAGUUCGCGGCAGAUUAGUUAGUUGGCGGGGUAAUGGCCCACCAAGACGAUGAUCUGUAUCCGGCCUGAGAGGGCGCACGGACACACUGGAACUGAAACACGGUCCAGACUCCUACGGGAGGCAGCAGUGGGGAAUUUUGCGCAAUGGGGGAAACCCUGACGCAGCAACGCCGCGUGGAGGAUGAAGCCCCUUGGGGUGUAAACUCCUUUCGAUCGGGAAGAUAAUGACGGUACCGAUAUAAGAAGCCCCGGCUAACUUCGCGCCAGCAGCCGC
RNAcentral lists this ribosomal RNA (461 nucleotides) under uncultured bacterium. RNAcentral describes it as "SSU rRNA". It matches the Rfam family "Bacterial small subunit ribosomal RNA", at positions 26 to 518 of the family's 1533-position model. The record is from RNAcentral.